Molecule: ribosomal RNA, 498 nt
Filed under: uncultured bacterium
Lineage: Bacteria
Description: partial 16S ribosomal RNA
Rfam family: Bacterial small subunit ribosomal RNA
Source: RNAcentral
AUUGAACGCUGGCGGCAUGCCUUACACAUGCAAGUCGAACGGUAACAGGUCUUCGGAUGCUGACGAGUGGCGAACGGGUGAGUAAUACAUCGGAACGUGCCUAGUAGUGGGGGAUAACUACUCGAAAGAGCGGCUAAUACCGCAUGAGAUCUACGGAUGAAAGCAGGGGAUCGCAAGACCUUGUGCUACUCGAGCGGCCGAUGGCAGAUUAGGUAGUUGGUGGGAUAAAAGCUUACCAAGCCGACGAUCUGUAGCUGGUCUGAGAGGACGAUCAGCCACACUGGGACUGAGACACGGCCCAGACUCCUACGGGAGGCAGCAGUGGGGAAUUUUGGACAAUGGGCGAAAGCCUGAUCCAGCAAUGCCGCGUGCAGGAUGAAGGCCUUCGGGUUGUAAACUGCUUUUGUACGGAACGAAAAGCCCCGGGUUAAUACCCUGGGGUCAUGACGGUACCGUAAGAAUAAGCACCGGCUAACUACGUGCCAGCCGCCGCGGUAA